RNAcentral lists this ribosomal RNA (580 nucleotides) under uncultured bacterium. RNAcentral's name for it is "bacterial SSU rRNA". It matches the Rfam family "Bacterial small subunit ribosomal RNA", at positions 163 to 774 of the family's 1533-position model. The record is from RNAcentral.
CUAAUACCGCAUAACAUCGCAAGAUCAAAGCAGCAAUGCGCUUGGAGAGGGGGUCGCGGCUGAUUAGCUAGUUGGCGGGGUAACGGCCCACCAAGCGAAGAUCGGUAUCCGGCCUGAGAGGGCGCACGGACACACUGGAACUGAAACACGGUCCAGACUCCUACGGGAGGCAGCAGUGGGGAAUUUUGCGCAAUGGGGGAAACCCUGACGCAGCAACGCCGCGUGGAGGAUGAAGCCCUUUGGGGCGUAAACUCCUUUCGACCAAGACGAUUAUGACGGUACUGGUGGAAGAAGCACCGGCUAACUCUGUGCCAGCAGCCGCGGUAAUACAGAGGGUGCGAGCGUUGUUCGGAAUUAUUGGGCGUAAAGGGCGCGUAGGCGGUGCCACAAGUCACUUGUGAAAUCUCCGGGCUUAACUCGGAGUCUGCAGGUGAAACUGUGGUGCUGGAGUGUGGGAGAGUUGCGUGGAAUUCCACGGUGUAGUCGGUGAUAUGCGUAGAUAUCGGGAGGAACACCUGUGGCGAAAGCGGCGCACUGGACCAGAACUGACGCUGAGGCGCGAGAGCUAGGGGAGCAAACA